CUGCCCCAUCUCUGUCAGUGUUCAAGGCCAGGUUGGAUGGGACUUGGAGCAACCUGGUCUAGUGGGAAGUGUCCUUGCCCACGGCAGAGGGGCUGGAACGAGAUGAUCUUUAAGGUCCUUUCCAACCCAAACCAUUCUGUGAUUCUGUGCAGGCUGUACUAAGGUACGGAAC
This is a long non-coding RNA of Strigops habroptila (Kakapo), 172 nucleotides long. RefSeq lists it as uncharacterized. The record is from RefSeq and is a predicted model, not a curated record. The transcript has 4 exons. NCBI's taxonomy places the organism in Eukaryota, Metazoa, Chordata, Aves, Psittaciformes, Psittacidae.